GACGAACGCUGGCGGCGUGCUUAACACAUGCAAGUCGAACGGAAAGGCCCUGCUUGCAGGGUACUCGAGUGGCGAACGGGUGAGUAACACGUGGGUGAUCUGCCCUGCACUUCGGGAUAAGCCUGGGAAACUGGGUCUAAUACCGGAUAGGAGCCAUUUUUAGUGUGAUGGUUGGAAAGUUUUUUCGGUGUAGGAUGAGCUCGCGGCCUAUCAGCUUGUUGGUGGGGUAAUGGCCUACCAAGGCGGCGACGGGUAGCCGGCCUGAGAGGGUGGACGGGCACAAUUGGGCUGGAGAUACGGCCCGAACCCCUAGGGGGGGAGGAGGGGGGGAUAAUUGACCAAGGGCGCAAGCCUGAUGCAGCGACGCCGCGUGGGGGAUGACGGCCUUCGGGUUGUAAACUCCUUUCGCUAGGGACGAAGCUUUUUGUGACGGUACCUAGAUAAGAAGCACCGGCUAACUACGUG
This 465-nucleotide ribosomal RNA is filed under the name uncultured bacterium. RNAcentral describes it as "partial 16S ribosomal RNA". It matches the Rfam family "Bacterial small subunit ribosomal RNA", at positions 28 to 507 of the family's 1533-position model. The record is from RNAcentral.